RNAcentral lists this small nuclear RNA (255 nucleotides) under Cebus imitator (Panamanian white-faced capuchin). RNAcentral describes it as "7SK RNA (ENSCCAG00000015376.1)". It matches the Rfam family "7SK RNA". From Rfam's summary of the family: 7SK was discovered as an abundant small nuclear RNA in the mid-70s but a possible function has only recently been suggested. Two independent studies have found that 7SK RNA binds the CDK9/cyclin T complex (known as elongation factor P-TEFb). The record is from Rfam by way of RNAcentral. Lineage: Eukaryota; Metazoa; Chordata; Mammalia; Primates; Cebidae.
UGAGUGUGAGGGUAGACUGGCUGGCUAGGUGGUGACCUUAUUUUCCCACACAGAUCAUCGAAAGCUGCUUGGGCUAUCAAAGAUGACGACAGUCACAGAUAAAGGAGAAAGGCUUUUUAGUCAAGAGUAUUCAGAGCUGUGUUUUCCUGCUAGAUCCUCAAAACAGACGUUAAGUAGUGUGCUUAUAUAAGAUCUGUUUAGUAGCUAGGAGAGAGUUUGAGAUAAGAGGAAGGUGUCUUAGUCACCUUCCUGCUU